Caenorhabditis brenneri is the source of this 73-nucleotide non-coding RNA. NCBI's taxonomy places the organism in Eukaryota, Metazoa, Nematoda, Chromadorea, Rhabditida, Rhabditidae. The record is from the annotation of a GenBank genome assembly.
GCCCUCGCGGUGUAGUGGUGAAGGCGUUUGACUGACGAUCUGAGGGUCGCGGGUUCGAACCCAGCAGUGGUCA